GUUAGAGGAACAUACGAAGGCACCGACACGCGACAGUUGCUACCAGCGCACGUUGUUGAUCUCCAAACUCUCCAUUUCUUCAAACUCUGAAUUUUUUUUUUUUCCUUUUCAUCUCAAUCCGCCACCGAUAUCUUCCAAUAUGCAUUCCUCAAUCCUCUGAUUUCAUCCACAUUCACAUUCCUUAUCCUCCGUAGGGUUUCGAUGAGCUGCCGGAGUUCCAUCGGAAUCGGAUUCGGAGUCCAAUGAGACGGCGCCCCGUGGCGGCCAUUCUCCCUGACGAGAUGGAGAAACCCUCCGCCAGGAACCCUAAUUCCCGCAUCUGCUUCCUGGCAACACUCUCCGCAUUCUUCUGGUUCCUCCUCCUCUACUUCCACUUCGCCGUUCUCGGAAACCAAUCCCCCAAACUAACCCCUAUCACCGUCACCUUUCAGCAACCUCGCAAAAGCCUUGGCUCCCAAACCCUAAUCGAAGCCCCUCCGCCACCCUCCUUUCCCUUCGCACGUGCCCUCCAGACCGCCCUCAACAAGUCCGACAGGUGUGGAGGCCGCUACAUCUACGUCCACGACCUCCCCUCCCGCUUCAACGAGGACAUGUUGAAGAAGUGCAGAACGCUUUCCCUUUGGACCAACAUGUGCAAGUUCACCACCAACGCCGGCCUCGGCCCCCCCUUGGAAAACGUUAAGGGCGUCUUCUCCGACACCGGCUGGUACGCUACCAAUCAGUUCGUCGUUGACGUCAUCUUUAGCAACCGGAUGAAACAGUACGACUGCCUCACCCAGGACCCUUCCCUUGCCGCUGCAUUUUUUGUCCCCUUCUACGCCGGCUUCGACAUCGCCCGCUACCUCUGGGGCUAUAACAUAUCCGUCAGAGACUCUGCGUCGCUUGAUCUCGUUGAUUGGCUUGUGAGGAGGCCCGAGUGGAAGAUCAUGAACGGGAGGGACCAUUUUCUCGUGGCGGGGAGGAUCACGUGGGAUUUUAGAAGACUCAGUGAGGACGAAUCGGAUUGGGGGAACAAGCUUUUGUUUCUACCUGCGGCGCGGAACAUGUCCAUGCUUGUGGUGGAGUCGAGUCCCUGGAAUGCGAAUGAUUUUGGGAUUCCUUAUCCCACCUAUUUUCACCCUGCUAAGGAUGAUGAUGUCUUCAUUUGGCAGGAGAGGAUGCGGAGGUUGGAGAGGAAGUGGUUGUUUUCUUUCGCCGGGGCUCCGCGUCCGGAUAACCCGAAAUCGAUUCGGGGGCAGAUUAUUGAUCAGUGUAAGAGAUCCAAGGUGGGUAAGUUGUUGGAGUGUGAUUUUGGUGAGAGUAAGUGUCAUUCCCCGAGCAGCAUAAUGCAGAUGUUUCAAGGGUCACUUUUCUGCCUUCAGCCUCAAGGGGAUUCCUAUACCCGACGAUCUGCUUUUGAUUCAAUGCUAGCUGGGUGUAUACCUGUGUUUUUUCAUCCGGGUUCGGCUUACACUCAAUACACUUGGCACCUUCCCAAGAAUUAUACUAAGUACUCGGUGUUCAUUCCGGAGGACGAUAUUCGGAAGAGGAAUGUCAGUAUAGAAGAGAGGCUUACACAGAUUCCCGAGGAGGAAGUCAGGAUCAUGAGAGAGGAGGUCAUUAGUUUGAUCCCUAGAUUGGUGUACGCGGAUCCUCGAUCCAAACUUGAGACUCUUAAGGAUGCGUUUGAUGUUUCGGUGCAGGCUGUGAUUGACAAGGUUACCAAUUUGAGGAAGGACAUCAUGGAAGGUCGCACCGAUGAUAAUUUCAUUGAGGAGAAUAGUUGGAAGUAUGCGUUGUUGGAUGCGGGACAGCGCGAGGUUGGACCUCAUGAAUGGGAUCCCUUCUUUUCUAAACCCAAGGAUGGAAAUGCGGAUUCCAGUGAUUUGUCUUCUGAGGCUGCAAAGAAUUCUUGGAAAAAUGAGCAAAGGGAUACUUCUUGAUUCAGGCAGGGGAGGAAAUAUAAACAAAAUUAUGUCAAUGAGCGGAAGUGUUCAAUGAAUGAUAAUAUCAUUUGGCAGCUGCAUUAUCAGAGUUACCUACAUUUAUGACUGUGCAAUGAGGCAAGAUAGAAGAGAAGUUGCGGGGAAAGUGAUUAUAAAAGGUGUCUCCACAAGACCCAGGAUGUAUGUCUGGUAUGUGAAGUCAAUCAGCUGGAUACACAUGCAGGUAUACACCCAAAGGAGUUGAAUGAAAGAAACAUGCAUGACUCUGUUUUUCAGUUGUGAGCUCUGGCAUGGCAUGGCAUGACAUGUACCACACACACUCUUGGCAUUUGGCAACACGACAUCUGAUGUAAUGCACGAGGUCACUUCUGCAUUAAUAUCAUCCAUCUAUCUGUUUAGCCUUUUAUUAUUUACGCUUAUCGAUGGUUUUUGAAGCC
Molecule: RNA transcript, 2362 nt
Organism: Vigna angularis (adzuki bean)
Lineage: Eukaryota; Viridiplantae; Streptophyta; Magnoliopsida; Fabales; Fabaceae
Gene name: xyloglucan galactosyltransferase MUR3
Exons: 4
Source: RefSeq, a predicted model, not a curated record